RNAcentral lists this small nuclear RNA (121 nucleotides) under Plasmodium falciparum HB3. RNAcentral describes it as "U5 spliceosomal RNA". It matches the Rfam family "U5 spliceosomal RNA". Rfam says of the family: U5 RNA is a component of both types of known spliceosome. The precise function of this molecule is unknown, though it is known that the 5' loop is required for splice site selection and p220 binding, and that both the 3' stem-loop and the Sm site are important for Sm protein binding and cap methylation. Lineage: Eukaryota; Apicomplexa; Aconoidasida; Haemosporida; Plasmodiidae. The record is from Rfam by way of RNAcentral.
GGUGUGUGUACUUAGGGACAUAACGAAGCAAUCGUUCCCCUUUUACUAAAGAUUGCCGUGUAGUAAGUAUGUUAAAUACAAUAUACCACGAAUUUUUGUCGCGCCUAUUAAGUUAGGUGCU